RNAcentral lists this unclassified non-coding RNA (294 nucleotides) under Hevea brasiliensis (rubber tree). Lineage: Eukaryota; Viridiplantae; Streptophyta; Magnoliopsida; Malpighiales; Euphorbiaceae. The record is from RNAcentral.
AGGAACCUAUUCUAGAGAAAGAAGUUACUGAGAAUUGAGCAAGAACAGCUUGAGGAUUGUAUCCUAGGGAACGAAGAAUAUCAAGCCAAAGAGAUGACUAUGUAAAUUGAACAUUUAUCUAAUACUCUUAUUCCUACUAAAUUGAGCCUUUCAACUGUAGUUGUGACUGAUUUUACAUGUUCAGAUGUUUUCAAGGAUGUGAAAGAAAGUAUGAAGUUCUUCUUUUCAAUCUUAUUGGUAGUUUGCUACCAUCCAAGAAGAUAAGGCUACUGUUCUCCAAAUUCAGCUCUUGAU